CCAGCGAACUUGGCAGAGAUGCCUUGGUGCCUUCGGGAACGCUGAGACAGGUGCUGCAUGGCUGUCGUCAGCUCGUGUUGUGAAAUGUUGGGUUAAGUCCCGCAACGAGCGCAACCCUUAUCCUUUGUUGCCAGCGAUUCGGUCGGGAACUCAAAGGAGACUGCCGGUGAUAAACCGGAGGAAGGUGGGGAUGACGUCAAGUCAUCAUGGCCCUUACGAGUAGGGCUACACACGUGCUACAAUGGCGCAUACAGAGAGAAGCGACCUCGCGAGAGCAAGCGGACCUCAUAAAGUGCGUCGUAGUCCGGAUCGGAGUCUGCAACUCGACUCCGUGAAGUCGGAAUCGCUAGUAAUCGUGGAUCAGAAUGCCACGGUGAAUACGUUCCCGGGCCUUGUACACACCGCCCGUCACACCAUGGGAGUGGGUUGCAAAAGAAGUAGGUAGCUUAACCUUCGGGAGGGCGCUUACCACUUUGUGAUUCAUGACUGGGGUGAAGUCGUAACAAGGUAAGCGUAGCGAG
This 521-nucleotide ribosomal RNA is filed under the name uncultured bacterium. RNAcentral describes it as "bacterial SSU rRNA". It matches the Rfam family "Bacterial small subunit ribosomal RNA", at positions 988 to 1509 of the family's 1533-position model. The record is from RNAcentral.